GAUGAACGCUGGCGGCGUGCCUAAUACAUGCAAGUCGAGCGAACGGACGAGAAGCUUGCUCCUCUGACGUUAGCGGCGGACGGGUGAGUAACACGUGGAUAACCUACCUAUAAGACUGGGAUAACUUCGGGAAACCGGAGCUAAUACCGGAUGAUAUAUUGAACCGCAUGGUUCAAUAGUGAAAGACGGUUUUGCUGUCACUUAUAGAUGGAUCCGCGCUGCAUUAGCUAGUUGGUAAGGUAACGGCUUACCAAGGCAACGAUGCGUAGCCGACCUGAGAGGGUGAUCGGCCACACUGGAACUGAGACACGGUCCAGACUCCUACGGGAGGCAGCAGUAGGGAAUCUUCCGCAAUGGGCGAAAGCCUGACUGAGCAACGCCGCGUGAGUGAUGAAGGUCUUCGGAUCGUAAAACUCUGUUAUUAGGGAAGAACAAAUGUGUAAGUAACUAUGCACGUCUUGACGGUACCUAAUCAGAAAGCCACGGCUAACUACGUG
Molecule: ribosomal RNA, 497 nt
Filed under: uncultured bacterium
Lineage: Bacteria
Description: partial 16S ribosomal RNA
Rfam family: Bacterial small subunit ribosomal RNA
Source: RNAcentral